CACGUAGGGGGCGAGCGUUGUCCGGAAUCAUUGGGCGUAAAGAGCUCGUAGGCGGCUCAGUAAGUCGGGUGUGAAACCCUCAGGCUCAACCUGGGGACGCCACUCGAUACUGCUGUGGCUAGAGUCCAGUAGAGGAGUGUGGAAUUCCCGGUGUAGCGGUGAAAUGCGCAGAUAUCAGGAGGAACACCGGUGGCGAAGGCGGGUCUCUGGGCAGUAACUGACGCUGAGGAGCGAAAGCGUGGGUAGCAAACAGG
RNAcentral lists this ribosomal RNA (254 nucleotides) under uncultured bacterium. RNAcentral describes it as "partial 16S ribosomal RNA". It matches the Rfam family "Bacterial small subunit ribosomal RNA", at positions 524 to 776 of the family's 1533-position model. The record is from RNAcentral.